AAUAUUGGACAAUGGGCGCAAGCCUGAUCCAGCCAUGCCGCGUGGGUGAAGAAGGCCUUCGGGUUGUAAAGCCCUUUUGUUGGGNAAGAANGGCAGUNGAUUAAUACUCGGUUGUUNUGACGGUACCCACAGAAUAAGCACCGGCUAACUUCGUGCCAGCAGCCGCGGUAAUACGAAGGGUGCAAGCGUUAAUCGGAAUUACUGGGCGUAAAGCGNGCGUAGGUGGUUGUUUAAGUCNGAUGUGAAAUCCCCGGGCUCAACCUGGGAACUGCAUUGGAUACUGGGCGAGCUAGAGUGUGGUAGAGGGGAGUGGAAUUCCCGGUGUAGCAGUGAAAUGCGUAGAGAUCGGGAGGAACACCCAUGGCGAAGGCGGCC
RNAcentral lists this ribosomal RNA (375 nucleotides) under gamma proteobacterium SCGC AAA031-F07. RNAcentral describes it as "bacterial SSU rRNA". It matches the Rfam family "Bacterial small subunit ribosomal RNA", at positions 360 to 726 of the family's 1533-position model. The record is from RNAcentral. Lineage: Bacteria; Pseudomonadati; Pseudomonadota; Gammaproteobacteria.